This 194-nucleotide ribosomal RNA is filed under the name uncultured bacterium. Its description in RNAcentral is "partial 16S ribosomal RNA". It matches the Rfam family "Bacterial small subunit ribosomal RNA", at positions 338 to 524 of the family's 1533-position model. The record is from RNAcentral.
CCUACGGGAGGCAGCAGUGGGGAAUAUUGGACAAUGGGGGCAACCCUGAUCCAGCAAUGCCGCGUGUGUGAAGAAGGCCUUCGGGUUGUAAAGCACUUUCAGUGGGGAAGAAAGGCUCAAGGUUAAUACCCUUGAGAGUUGACGUUACCCACAGAAGAAGCACUGGCUAACUCUGUGCCAGCAGCCGCGGUAAU